Molecule: long non-coding RNA, 1780 nt
Organism: Cyanistes caeruleus (blue tit)
Lineage: Eukaryota; Metazoa; Chordata; Aves; Passeriformes; Paridae
Source: Ensembl
CAUAUUUCUAUUUUUUCCACAAGGAUUCCACACCCUGAUCCAAGCUGGACACUCUGCUCUGCCCCGGAGGCCUCAGCAAUCCCUGGAUCAGGAGGGAGGGGGAUCCAAGGAAUCUCUUGAAUUCCAGAAUUUACCAUCCCAGAAUUUACCCAACUCCCUGGAAAUAACUGAAUUUCCUUCUGAUUCCAAGAGAAACAAUGGAAAAUGUCGAUAUGUUGGUGCUGGAGUCCAAAAUCAGCUUUUCAAGCACGGGGACAUUCAGGAAUAUUCUGUCCAAAAUAAAAAAAAGGGGGAAUUAUGGAGAGACACAAAGAAAUGGAUUUUAUCCUCCAAAAGAAAUUGUUUUCCCUGAUCCAUCUUUUUUUUUGUGUGUGGUUUCUCUGGUGCUUGAUAAUCCCUUGGAGUAAUUUACAUUAAUCCAAAAUUCUCCUUCACUGCCAGCCAUGGAAUUUUGGGGGAAUUGAAUAUCUUGGAAAUUUCUGUCAGGAUCUUCCAAAUUAUCAAAUUUCCAUGGAUAAAGCCCACAAAAGCGAUGGAACUGGGAUAUUCCUCAAGGAUAAAGGGAUUUAGAGUGUCAGGAAAAGUCCUUGGAAGGAGAGGAAUGGUUUUUUAAGUGCCUGGAGGAAAAACCAGUAGGAAACAAACCAGGAUCCUUUAUUUUUCCACAAAACAACCCCUGCCUUACAAGCACGGCUGUAAUUGUAUCUUGAACAUGCAGUGCAAACAAAAACUCGUUAACACCUGCACUAAUGAAUCCCAGGAAGGCUCUGGAGUAUUCCAGCUGCACUUGGAAAGACACGGAUCCUGCUCCUCGUUGAUUUGUGUCACACAACCAGGACAAACCCUCUGGAUCACACAGGGACUCCUCAUCCACCCAGAGAUCCAAGAGGAGAAACGAUCUCCCAGCUUAAGGAAACUCCUCAAAAGGAACAAAGAUUUUCCAUCCUCUGGAAUAACUGGGAUGAGGAAUUACUUCACAAAGACACAAACGGGCAGAAUUCAAAGGGAAAAUAAAGAAGCUCCUUUGUGUGUCCAGAUGUUUCUGCAGCUGCAGAGUCCUAGGAGAUGCUCCUUGUCCUGCUAAAGAGGACAAGGAAUUCAGGACAAAAACCUGGAUCCAGGGAAGAGCUGGUGCUGUGCCUGCUGCCCAUGUUUUAUUGUUAGGAGUGGAGCUGGCCUGGAUUUCUCCUGCUCCUCAUGGCAGCUCCCAGAGGUCUCCCACAGCAGAGGGAAAAUCUCCAUGGACCUGCCGGAGUGGGGACACCACGACAGGAGGUGCUGGAGUGGGAUUAACAACAGGAGAACCUCCUGGAGAUGGGAUUUGUUCACAGGAGGCUGCAGCUCCCAACAAAAUUCCUGAGUGGUUCUGGAAAGCAAAGUCAGGUUCACAGAACACCUUCAAACAAACCCUGAGGAGGUAAAAACAGAGCUCUUAUGCUUUUUGGCUUCCAUCCCUUCCUUUUUCUGCCUCUUUUCCCGGUUCUCAGGUGUUUCUGGGCAUUGUCCAGCAAUUCAUUCCUCACAUCUGUUCAUGGUUCAUCCAUGUUCCUUCCUUUUCCUCUUGCACUCCCUUCCCUUUUUAUAUUUUGCUCCAUUUUCCCCCUCAGUUUCUGAUUCUGCUUCCAGCUGAUUCCCUUUUUUACUCUAUAUUGAUUAUUUUUUUCCCUAGGCUUGCUCUAUCCAGGAUUUGGUAUCGAUUUCCAUGGAGUUCCCUCCUCUUCUGGAAUUGUUUGCUCCCUCUUCCCCAGAAGUCAGCUUUUCAAAUUCCUUAGAAACACCA